This 301-nucleotide ribosomal RNA is filed under the name uncultured bacterium. RNAcentral describes it as "partial 16S ribosomal RNA". It matches the Rfam family "Bacterial small subunit ribosomal RNA", at positions 509 to 807 of the family's 1533-position model. The record is from RNAcentral.
CAGUAGCCGCGGGAAUACGAAGGGGGCUAGCGUUACUCGGAAUUACUGGGCGUAAAGGGCGCGUAGGCGGCACGAUUAGUCAGGCGUGAAAUUCCUGGGCUCAACCUGGGGACUGCGCUUGAUACGGUCGAGCUAGAGGAUGGAAGAGGGUUGUGGGAUUCCCAGUGUAGAGGUGAAAUUCGUAGAUAUUGGGAAGAACAUCAGUGGCGAAGGCGGCCAUCUGGGACAACACUGACGCUGAGGUACGAAAGCGUGGGGAGCAAACAGGAUUAGAUACCCCAGUAGUCCCUGUCUCUUAUAC